GUCCGGCAGGUGCAACUAUUACACAUUGUCUCGAGGAUUCCUUGGACCUAUGAGUCUUAGUCUUGCAUUCCCUAAGGGCUCACCGCUGCGAAGGAGAUUUAACCAAAUCAUCACCAGGUUGCGGGAAUCGGGUAUAAUGAUGAAACUGUUCACUAACGGUAUGGGUAACAGCACUGAAUGCAUCUCCAACGCCGGCUCGUAUUAUUUGUUUGCUGCCAAGGAACGAGCUCUCCAGCUGAAGGAUUUUUAUGGAGUGUUUUUGGUUUACACCGCAGGACUGUUUCUGGCUGUGUGUUUUUUUCUCGGGGAGGUGUGGCGAAGUGGAGAGCGAUUACACACAGAAGCGCCUCUUACACCCCGAAAAACCACGAUCCCAGCGAACUCUGAAGCAUCAUUCCAGCUUACCUCUGACACACAUCUGGGACUUGGACGCUUUGUGCACGAUAAGGAAGAAUUCUGA
Long non-coding RNA from Scylla paramamosain (green mud crab), 460 nucleotides. RefSeq lists it as uncharacterized. The record is from RefSeq and is a predicted model, not a curated record. The transcript has 3 exons. Lineage: Eukaryota; Metazoa; Arthropoda; Malacostraca; Decapoda; Portunidae.